GCAGCAGCCGCGGUAAUACGGAGGGUGCAAGCGUUAAUCGGAAUUACUGGGCGUAAAGCGCACGCAGGCGGUCUGACAAGUCAGAUGUGAAAUCCCCGGGCUUAACCUGGGAACUGCAUUUGAAACUGUCAGGCUGGAGUCUUGUAGAGGGGGGUGGAAUUCCAGGUGUAGCGGUGAAAUGCGUAGAGAUCUGGAGGAAUACCGGUGGCGAAGGCGGCCCCCUGGACAAAGACUGACGCUCAGGUGCGAAAGCGUGGGGAGCAAACAGGAUUAGAUACCCGUGUAGUCCCUGUCUCUUAUAC
RNAcentral lists this ribosomal RNA (302 nucleotides) under uncultured bacterium. RNAcentral describes it as "partial 16S ribosomal RNA". It matches the Rfam family "Bacterial small subunit ribosomal RNA", at positions 508 to 807 of the family's 1533-position model. The record is from RNAcentral.